AAUAAAUCACCAGACUACAGCCAUAUAGUUUUGAACCUAGAAGAAGAUCAAGGAGUAGGCAAGAAGGAGUUGACUGGGAUGGGCGAGAGGAAUGUCCAGUUGGCCCGAAAAGCAUGGUUUGUCAUCUGAUUUCUUGGAGCCUGGUGGAGAUAGAUGCAACCAUACUACAAGGCAGGACAUUUCUCUGCAUCCAGGUUGAGGCUUGCUACCAGCAGGAACAUGAAGCACUCUGUCAGUGCUACAGAGACAGAAUGGUCCAAGGACCUCCAGAGCCUUCUGAACAACUACCUGCAAUCUCUCCAGAGCACAGAGAAGUAAGCU
This is a long non-coding RNA of Coregonus clupeaformis (lake whitefish), 321 nucleotides long. RefSeq lists it as uncharacterized. The record is from RefSeq and is a predicted model, not a curated record. The transcript has 3 exons. Lineage: Eukaryota; Metazoa; Chordata; Actinopteri; Salmoniformes; Salmonidae.